UCAAGUUUAAAUCCCUCUGUUGGAAGAUGUACUUCAAACUCUUAUGGUCGGUGUAUAUCUCGCACACUUCACCAUACAGGUAGUGUCUCCAGAUUUUUAGUGCAAUGACUACAGCCGCCAUUUCCAAAUCAUGGGUGGGGUAGUUCUGCUCAUGCCUCUUCAGCUGCCUUGAAGCAUAAGCCACUACUUUUCCAUUCCGCAUCAAAACACACCCUAGGCCAACUCUGGAGGCGUCACAGUACACGGUGUAUCCUUCACCGCUCAUAGGUAGUGUUAACACAGGGGCAAUGGUUAGACACUCCUUAUCCUCAUCAUUAUAACUGACUCUAUCGAGCUCUCUUCCUGUCCUUUGCAUCUUAUCCACUUCCCUU
RNAcentral lists this unclassified non-coding RNA (371 nucleotides) under Hevea brasiliensis (rubber tree). Lineage: Eukaryota; Viridiplantae; Streptophyta; Magnoliopsida; Malpighiales; Euphorbiaceae. The record is from RNAcentral.